This 458-nucleotide ribosomal RNA is filed under the name uncultured bacterium. RNAcentral's name for it is "partial 16S ribosomal RNA". It matches the Rfam family "Bacterial small subunit ribosomal RNA", at positions 338 to 795 of the family's 1533-position model. The record is from RNAcentral.
CCUACGGGUGGCAGCAGUGGGGAAUAUUGCACAAUGGGGGAAACCCUGAUGCAGCGACGCCGCGUGAGUGAAGAAGUAUUUCGGUACGUAAAGCUCUAUCAGCAGGGAAGAAAAACCGGCCUUAGGGCCGCCAGCCGGUACCUGACUCAGACGCCCCGGCUAACUACGUACCAGCAGCCGCGGUAAUACGUAGGGGGCCAGCGUUAUCCGGAUUUACUGGGGGUAAAGGGAGCGUAGACGGCAGCGCAAGCCUGGAGUGAAAUGCCGGGGCCCAACCCCGGAACUGCUUUGGAAACUGUGAAGAUGGAGUGCAGGAGAGGUAAGCGGAAUGCCUAGUGUAGCGGUGAAAUGCGUAGAUAUUAGGAGGAACACCAGUGGCGAAGGCGGCUUACUGGACUGUAACUGACGUUGAGGCUCGAAAGCGUGGGGAGCAAACAGGAUUAGAUACCCUUGUAGUC